This 305-nucleotide long non-coding RNA is filed under the name Brassica napus (rape). RNAcentral describes it as "long non-coding RNA (BNAP_LNC000972)". The record is from RNAcentral. Lineage: Eukaryota; Viridiplantae; Streptophyta; Magnoliopsida; Brassicales; Brassicaceae.
GGUUUUGACUAUAUUUUUAGGGUUUUGGUUUUAUGUUGGAUUGUUUUUGGUUUUCUCGGAUUUUAGAUUCUUUUUAAAAAAAUUGGUAUAUUUUUGAAUUUUUGAAUAAAUUUUGAAGAAAAAUUUAUAUGUGGUAGCUGACUCAGCAUAAAUUAAAAUUUUUGUAUUUGAAUCAACGGAAAGUGUACAUGUGGCAUUUGAUUUAGCAUGUUUGACCAACAUUAUUUCAGUCAAAGUUGAUUUCGGGUUGAGUUUGAUAGUUCAUGUAAUUUAUUUGAAAUAAAUGUUAGUUUAUGAUGAAACCG